Podarcis lilfordi (Lilford's wall lizard) is the source of this 72-nucleotide non-coding RNA. The record is from the annotation of a GenBank genome assembly. NCBI's taxonomy places the organism in Eukaryota, Metazoa, Chordata, Lepidosauria, Squamata, Lacertidae.
GCUUUUUGAUCCAGACAGUAGAGCAUGAGUCUCUUAAUCUCAGGGUCGUGGGUUCAAGCCCCACAUUGGGCA